AUUGAACGCUGCGGCAUGCUUUACACAUGCAAGUCGAACGGUAACAGGUCUUUCGGGAUGCUGACGAGUGGCGAACGGGUGAGUAAUGUAUCGGAACGUGCCCAGUAGUGGGGGAUAACUACUCGAAAGAGUGGCUAAUACCGCAUGAGAUCUCUGGAUGGAAAGCGGGGGACCGUAAGGCCUCGCGCUACUGGAGCGGCCGAUGUCGGAUUAGCUAGUUGGUGGGGUAAAGGCCUACCAAGGCGACGAUCCGUAGCGGGUCUGAGAGGAUGAUCCGCCACACUGGGACUGAGACACGGCCCAGACUCCUACGGGAGGCAGCAGUGGGGAAUUUUGGACAAUGGGCGGAAGCCUGAUCCAGCCAUGCCGCGUGAGUGAAGAAGGCCUUCGGGUUGUAAAGCUCUUUCGGCGGGGAAGAAAUUGCUUGGGUUAAUACCCUGAGUAGAUGACGGUACCCGAAUAAGAAGCACCGGCUAACUACGUG
RNAcentral lists this ribosomal RNA (484 nucleotides) under uncultured bacterium. RNAcentral describes it as "bacterial SSU rRNA". It matches the Rfam family "Bacterial small subunit ribosomal RNA", at positions 30 to 507 of the family's 1533-position model. The record is from RNAcentral.